UAUAUAUAUAAUUAUUUAUACAAAUUUCUAGCAAUAUUCCUUUUCUUAUAAUAAAAUAAAAUUGAAGAAAACUUUUUCUAAAUGAACCUUUGCAGAAUAAAGGAUUAUUUUCUACUAUGUAUUUUAAAAAAUAUGACUGUGAUAAUAUUUAAUAUCCUUAGAGUACAUUAUAAACUUUUUAAGAAUAUAAAAUAGGUACUUAUAGUAUCACAUAAUGCACGUUUAAAGCAAUCCUAUUCCUUACAUGCAUUUAGCUGAGAAAAUGAUCAUUUUUGAUCAUUUGAUUAUAAUACGUAAAUAAAACUUAUUGUUUUUUUGUUACUCUUUUUGUAAUACAUCGAUACGAUCAUAAGAAUUACAAUUGAAAGUACUAAUUAAACUACAAAAUUAUUUAUACAAAAUGAUAUUUUAUUCAAACAGAAUAACAAUAUCUAUACAUACUUAAGUCAUACAGAUAUAUUAUAAAUCUAAUCCAAACUCCGAUUCUAUUCAGAUCGUAUCUUAAAUAAAUUAUUAACUAAACGAUAAAUGUAUUUAUUUCCGAUAAAACCGAUCUCUAUUUAAUGCGUUAUAUGUUUUUUACAGAAACCAAUUCUGGAAUGCGUUUCUACUAUGAAUAACUGAUAAAAAAACAAAUAUUAACAUUCAUUCUUACUUUUCUAUACUUUAACACGACGUUUUUUACAGAACAAUUCACAAAAAAAAUGAAUUCCAAUUAUCUUUUUGUCGAACAAAGAGAAUCUUAAGCAACAUGUACGUACGUGAUAGAGAAGAAUAUGAACAAGUAGAACAAACGAAAACAGGAAAGAAAUCGGGAGACAGAAAAAUGUCUCUGAAGCUGUAAGGAACAUCUAAACAGGAAACACGUGCAGUUCAAAGCAACAAUGAAGAAAGGACAAAGCUUGGCUGUUACAUGUUGGGACACUCUUUAUUCGUCUAUCUAUUAACGCAAACUCGGAACGUGUAAAUUGGAUAGCCGCACGUUUAUCCGACGAUCUCUUUGCAUUCUUCGACUACCUCGAGUCGUGCAUCUUGGCAAUCAUGUCGCAACUGUUAUCGGUUAUCGACUAAGUAGCUGUUCUUUCUUUCACGGGCAUAAGUACAUACAUAGUAUGUACCUUCAACCUCAGUCUCACGAAAGAGUGGGUUAAAAGAAUUCUAGGUGCAAGUCUCUUUCACAAGUUGCGACGACGACUUUCUAUUUAACUCUGUUCGGAAACAUUGGAUUUCGUUUUAGAUAACGAGAUUGAUUUUUGGAGAAUUUCAGUGCUAACAUUGAGUUUUAAGCUUCUUUUUCUUUAACUAAUAAACGAGAAAAGAAAUUAUUCUUUACAAAUUUUCGACGGAUUUGUAGCAUUAGUAUAUAAAUUUUAUCAAAAUGUAUAAAUUAAUAAGUAAAUACGUAAGAGCAAUAUUUAUUAUUUUAUUACCUAGUUAACAGACUAUAAACAUAUAUUAUCUAUUAGAAGAAAAUAUUUAAUAAUAAUAAUCAAUAUAUUUCUUUCUCCACGAUAACGUCGAUCUACUCACUGAUUUUAAAUAUGUAUCAGCUGAGAAAAACAUUUUUUAUCUAAUUCAUAGUUUGGAAAUUAAACAAUCAAUGAAAUUCUAAUAGCUCGAUAGAUACGGAUUUGUUGAAAUAGCAAAGUAAUUCCAUAAUCUUUGAUAAACAUGUACAUCGAUUUUAUUAUUACAUAUUAGUUUGAUUAUCAUAAUGUUUAAUUAUAUAUAACUACAAUGUUCUUAUGGUUUCAUUGUUUUGUGGUAUAUUGUUAUUCUUUUUUACCUAUAAUCAUGUGGCAAAAUUACAUCUUAUCAAAGUUAAACAAAUAUCUUUUUAAACGAUUUUGUACAGUAUGCGGAUAAUUGUGACAGUAUGAACGUAAAUACUGCAAUAUAUUCGAAUACGAUUCUAAUAAAGCGAAGUAAAAUUCAAUAGGAAGGCUUGAUAUAAUAGAACAAUUCUUUUCCUAUAAAUAAAAUAAGUAGACGAUUACUUAUGUAUGUAACGUACGUAAUAUACUUAUACAUAACUGUACAUUUGUCUAAACGAUAUUGUUAUGAAUUAGCAAACCCUUUCGACUAAUAAUAUGAUCUACUUCUAAAAUCUAAUCUAAAAUCUAAUUUUACUUAUAGUUUCUUCAAAUGCAAAAUUAUUUUAUAUGUAUCUUUCAUUCACUGAGUCUCUUAAUUAGUAAUGAAAUAUCUAUUUUAUAAUAGAAAUACGUCAAACUGAAUGUUACUAAUAAUAAUAUCAUAUUAGCAAUAUGAAACUAAGUUAAGCGAUAUUUGUUGUCUCUUUUUUAGAAUUAAUAGACACUUGUUGCAAGACAUAAAUAUACUUGCAAAAAACUGCAAUUUUUUGACUUGUUAAGAAACAUUAAAGAAGAAACAAUCAAGAAACAUUAAAGAAAACAUUCAGUAAUAAUUUUAACACAUUAUAAGUUGAUACAAUUUUUAUAAAUCAUGAGAAAAUUAAACAAGAACCUGUAUCUUUUUCGUUAGUAUUUUAUAGUUUUUAAACAAUAUACAAUAAAAAUUUCUGAAUAAACAGAA
Bombus terrestris (buff-tailed bumblebee) is the source of this 2556-nucleotide long non-coding RNA. RefSeq lists it as uncharacterized. The transcript has 2 exons. The record is from RefSeq and is a predicted model, not a curated record. Lineage: Eukaryota; Metazoa; Arthropoda; Insecta; Hymenoptera; Apidae.